RNAcentral lists this ribosomal RNA (1065 nucleotides) under Mediterraneibacter gnavus. Its description in RNAcentral is "partial 23S ribosomal RNA". It matches the Rfam family "Bacterial large subunit ribosomal RNA", at positions 141 to 1211 of the family's 2925-position model. The record is from RNAcentral. Lineage: Bacteria; Bacillati; Bacillota; Clostridia; Lachnospirales; Lachnospiraceae.
ACCUCAAGUAUCCACAGCCCAAUCCAUAAGCUGUGGAAGGGAACCCGGUGAACUGAAACAUCUAAGUAGCCGGAGGAAGAGAAAACAACAUGUGAUUCCGUAAGUAGCGGCGAGCGAACGCGGAAGAGCCCAAACCGGAGUGCGUGCACUCCGGGGUUCGGACUGCAGAAUUGACGAGUGAGCCUAGUAGAAUGGUUUUGGGAAAGCCAGCCAGAGAGGGUGAAAGCCCCGUACACGAAAGGCAAGCAAGCAUGGCAGGAUCCAGAGUACCACGAGACACGUGAAACCUUGUGGGAACGCGCGGGGACCACCCCGUAAGGCUAAAUACUCCUUAGUGACCGAUAGCGCAUAGUACUGUGAAGGAAAGGUGAAAAGGACCCCGGGAGGGGAGUGAAAGAGAACCUGAAACCAUAUGUUUACAAGCUGUGGAACAUCUUUAUAUGAUGAACCGCGUACUUUUUGUAGAACGGUCCGGCGAGUUACGCUGGCUGGCGAGGUUAAGCACUGAAGGUGUGGAGCCGAAGGGAAACCAAGUCUGAACAGGGCGAAAUAGUCAGUCGGAGUAGACCCGAAACCGGGUGAUCUAUCCAUGUCCAGGUUGAAGUUGCCGUAAAAGGCAAUGGAGGACCGAACCCACAUCCGUUGAAAAGGGUGGGGAUGAGGUGUGGAUAGGGGAGAAAUUCCAAUCGAACCCGGAGAUAGCUGGUUCUCCUCGAAAUAGCUUUAGGGCUAGCCUCAUGCAAGUCUUACGGAGGUAGAGCACUGAAUUCCUAAGGGGGCGUCAAAGCUUACCAAGGGAUAUCAAACUCCGAAUGCCGUGUAGAUGGUGCAUGGGAGUCAGACUAUCCGAGAUAAGUUGGGUAGUCAAAAGGGAAAGAGCCCAGACCUACAGCUAAGGUCCCAAAAUGUGUGUUAAGUGGAAAAGGAUGUGGGAUUUCGAAGACAACUAGGAUGUUGGCUUAGAAGCAGCCAUCCAUUAAAAGAGUGCGUAAUAGCUCACUAGUCGAGAGGUCCUGCGCCGAAAAUGUCCGGGGCUGAAACACACUACCGAAGCUUAGGAAUUGA